UACGUGGGUCACGAGCGUUAUCCGGUGUAACUGGGCGUAAAGAGUGUGUAGGCGGUUUUUUAAGUUACUUUUCAAAGACCUCUGCUUACCAGAGGAAAGGGAAGUAAUACUGGAAGACUGGAGUUUUCUUUAGGGUAAUCGGAAUUCAUGGAGGAGUAGUGAAAUGCGUUGAUACCAUGAAGAACACCAGUGGCGAAGGCGGAUUACUGGAAGAUAACUGACGCUGAGACACGAAAGCUAGGGGAGCGAACGGG
This 254-nucleotide ribosomal RNA is filed under the name uncultured bacterium. RNAcentral describes it as "partial 16S ribosomal RNA". It matches the Rfam family "Bacterial small subunit ribosomal RNA", at positions 524 to 776 of the family's 1533-position model. The record is from RNAcentral.